CUACGGGUUGCUCCAGUGGGGAAUAUUGGACAAUGGGGGAAACCCUGAUCCAGCAAUGCCGCGUGUGUGAAGAAGGCCUGCGGGUCGUAAAGCACUUUCGGUUGGGAGGACUGCUUCUAGCACUAAUAUUGUUGGAAGUUGACGUUACCUUCAGAAGAAGCACCGGCUAACUCCGUGCCAGCAGCCGCGGUAAUACGGAGGGGGCAAGCGUUAAUCGGAAUUACUGGGCGUAAAGCGCGCGUAGGCGGCUAGAUAAGUCGGGUGUGAAAGCCCCGGGCUUAACCUGGGAACUGCAUCCGAUACUGUCUGGCUUGAGUACAGGAGAGGAGAGUGGAAUUCCACAUGUAGAGGUGAAAUGCGUAGAUAUGUGGAGGAACACCAAUGGCGAAGGCAGCUCUCUGGCCUGAUACUGACGCUGAGGUGCGAAAGCGUGGGGAGCAAACAGGAUUAGAUACCCGUGUAGUC
RNAcentral lists this ribosomal RNA (465 nucleotides) under uncultured bacterium. RNAcentral's name for it is "partial 16S ribosomal RNA". It matches the Rfam family "Bacterial small subunit ribosomal RNA", at positions 339 to 795 of the family's 1533-position model. The record is from RNAcentral.